GGGGAUAUGGCUCAGUUGGUAGGGUGUUUGCUUCACAUGCACAAGGCCCUGGGUUCAAUCCCCAGAACUUCUC
Molecule: transfer RNA, 73 nt
Filed under: Ictidomys tridecemlineatus (thirteen-lined ground squirrel)
Lineage: Eukaryota; Metazoa; Chordata; Mammalia; Rodentia; Sciuridae
Description: Spermophilus tridecemlineatus (thirteen-lined ground squirrel) tRNA
Rfam family: tRNA
About the family: Transfer RNA (tRNA) molecules are approximately 80 nucleotides in length. Their secondary structure includes four short double-helical elements and three loops (D, anti-codon, and T loops).
Source: Rfam by way of RNAcentral